CCUGCGGCCUCCCCGCGCUCCCCACUUGGCCCCUUCUCCCCGCAGGGCACCUCGGCUUAGGAGAGCCCCCAGGCGCCCGCUCCUGGAACCCCUCACCCACGCCGCACCCGCGUCCCCAUCCCCAGAUCUGUUUGGGCAAAGUUGCUUAUGGUUCUGUCUCCCAGAGAAAGGAGCGUCCCAAAGCCGGGAGGGGCACCUGAGGUGACCCGAGACACCCUGAGCAGAGCGGGUGUGUCCCUCCAGCCACUGGAGACGUCCCCUUUGUUUCCCUGCACCUGGGGGCUUGAAAUGUCGAGGCCACAGUGCUUCGUGUGACCCUGGAGUCGUGCAGACCCCUUCCACCCCCGCCGUGUCCCCCCAACUAGGGCACAGGGAAGCAUCCAGAAAGAAGGGGACCCACAUGUCCUGGAACCCAGACACCUUCCUCCCAGCCCUUAUGGUCACAAGCAGUUAAAUUAGCGCACAUUUAUUGCGGGAAUUUGAAUCUGUCCCUGGCUACGGUCUUUGCCCGUGGGGCCUGGCCUGGGUCUUUCCCAGGACACUGCCAGUCCUCACGUGUCUCAUGUCGCAGGGAACCUGGACAGCAAUGGCUGUGAUCAUUUCACUUCUCCAGCCUGGAAAUCUCCUUUGCACCUAGGCACUCAGCUCCCAGGAGCAGAGGAGGGGGCGGAGGGAUGGAUGAAGGAGUGGUGUAGGGCACACAGAGGUGCAGUUUUCCGUCUGGGGAGCAGGGAAGGGUGUCCCAGAGGAGGUGACAUUCAGACGGGGUCCCUGAGGCUGAGUUGUUUCAGGAGGGAUUGCAUGUGCCUCCUCAGCAAUUGCUCUUGUUCUUGGUAGUACCCUAGUUUUUACUUUAUACUCACUUCUCCCUCUUAGCCACAUACGGGGGUGGGGGGUGGGGGGGAGCUGAUUCCAGAGAGAGGGAGAGAGAGAGUGAGCGAGAAGGAGGGCAUGUGGAUGUGGUUUAGGGCUUAGGCUGAAAUGAAUCAGUGUGUUGCCAUCCCUAGGCCAGAGUUUCAGAAGUGCAGUAUGACAAAGAAAAUAAUUUUCUUGGUCCUCUAAAAGAGUCCCUGAAGCAAAGGAAUUCACUCUGUCUCUUCCUUCCUACCUUCUCCUUGGCUCCCCCAGGCUGGAGCAAGGGAUCUCACAGGCUUGAAUGUUGACUCAGGAUGGAGUGGACAAGGGGAUCGGGCCUGGAUUCAGGCAGACACUGGAUGAGGUGUGCAGGGGCCGAGGCCACAAGGACCUUGUGGAGCGCCAACUUCAGCCAUGCUGUAAGCCGAUCCUGUGAGCACUUUCCAGUUCCAGAUCAGUCCAAGCCACCUUGAGUCAGGAAGCUUGAGCCCUGGAGCAUGAUGAUGGGUAACAGCCAUCUGGUCGGCUGCCACCCACUUCUCUGCCUUGCUGGAGGUCACGCUGUCCCCAGUGCUGCCCAAACCCCACAGGCAUCGGAAAUGACCCAGAGCUUCGUGAAGGCUGCAGAUCCCCCAGCUCAUACUUGGGCACCUCCUGUGCCCCAUGCUCUGCAAGAAGCCUUUGAGGGAGGAGCUAGGGACAGAGCCCAGCAGGUGAUGUUUAUUUGGAGCUUUCCACUUUGGGCUCUUAUGAAUAACCCUGCUAUGAACAUUUGCGUAAGAGUUUUUGUGUGAACAUCUGCUUCCAAUUCUCGUGGGUACGUACAGUAAUGUUUGGCAUGACAACCGAUUGUGUAUAGGAUGGUGAUCCUGUAUACCCCGCACCAUCUAGUUUGUGUAAGUGGCACUGUGACAUUUAUACAAUGAUGAAGUCACCCAGCAACACACUUCUCAGGACCUGUCCUGGUCUCUGAUAUGUGACUGCCUAGGAGUGACACUCCCGAGUCCUAUAAUAAUUUUGUUUGAUGGCUUGAGGAGCUCCUCCAGUUUCCACAGCUGCACCAUUUUACAUUCCCACUAGUAAUAUGUGGCUGCAGUGUGUAGUGUUUUACUUUAUUUUAGAAAUCCCUUUCACACCCGUGACCUCAUUUAAUCCCAGUAGCCCUGCAAGGAAUUAUAUUCAUUUUUUUAGAUAAAGAGAUUGUAUGGGUGAGGAUUCUUUCAGUUGCAAGUGACAGAAACUCAAUGCCAAACGCUGUAGAAGAGCAGAAAUAGAAAUCUCAGAUAACUGGGAAGCACCAAGGUGUCCGACUGCAGACCAAGUGUCUCAAAUGAAUGUUACUGCUUUCUUUCUGUCUUCUCUUAGUUUUGCUUCAUUCUCUUCUCCUUUUCUACAGCAGGCGAGGUUUCUCUGCCUGUCUAGAGAGAUGGCAGGAACCAGCCACAAGCUUAUACUUUACGGAUUCUAAAAGGAGAGAAGUGGCUUCCCUCUUAGAUCCAGCAGAGAAGUCCAGAGCUUUGGUUCGUGUCUCCCCUGCACAAAUCACAGUGUCUGGAGGACUUGGUGUCUCUCUUUCCUACUCCCUGGAUCUUUCUCUUGGCCCUCUCUUCUGUGUUCUGGGAUCCUCCAAAUGCAGCCACUUUCCACAUCAACAUGGGGGCCCCACCUGAGGCCCUGCCUGGCUUCCAGGCUCUUUUUGGAACCACAGCCCCCCCCCCCCAGGUCUGACUCCCUCCCCGUACCAUCCCUUAGUCUGUGCUCAGGAAACACAAAUUCUUUUCUAUUUUUUUAAACAUAAACUUAAGCAAACUUAUAGUUACUGGGAAGCCACAUCUUAUGCCAAAAAAAUGAUACAAUAAAUUCCAAAGCAAAUAAAUAAAGGUAGAGAAGAAAGCCACCAGAUUGCAUUUGUUAUCUGCAGUAUGAAUGACACGCAUGUUGUUCCAAGCCAAGAAUGCAUGAGAUGGAAGGUGAGUGUGCUGGUCACGCACAGAUGGGCUUAGAGGACUUCCCUUGUUUUCUGUCUGUCACACUAACAAAAUGAAUGUGUUUAACCCUAGAGAAUCACGUUUAUCCCAGUAGCUAGCAUGCAUUACCCCGGCUACUCUCUACUUCAAAGUCCAGUCUGGUGAAGCCGGGAAGGUAACCCUGUUCUUCUGGACCCUCUGCUGAGCCCAGUCUUAUUCCCAUUGCUGAGGAUGAGAGACUGAUAUUUCUCAUGCAACCAAGCCCUGCACACAACCUCCACUGAACCCAGGAUGUUACUCUGUGAUCUCCAUUUCUCAAGCCACAAGUAUGUCCAGCAUUCGCAGUAAAGAUAUCAAGGAAGGCAGCCUCCCCACACACAGGCACGCAGGAAGGAGAGGAAAACAGCCCUUGGAAGGAAAAGUGUGUCAAAGGGUUAAAUGCCAAGGAGGCAAGUCCUAGGAUUUUGCAGGAGUGAAGGAGUGAUAAAGAGAUAAGUGGCAAAAUCAUUCCAGGCCAAAUGACAGGGGGCUUUUAACAUCACAGCGAGGAGCAUGGCCUUCAUAGGUCAGGUAACAGGAAGCCUUCAGGGAUUUGGGGUAAGAAGGGUCUUCCAGCCUCCAACUACAAGCCAGGAGCUGCUCUCUGCCUCUGGAGCCUUCUCUGAGGGCUCCGGGUGCUGGAGACAUGGGGGGCAGCCCUGGACCAAUGGCUGAACCCCAGCUGCCACUCCUCUCGGGGGCCACCUCUAGGUGUGUUCUGCCUGGUCUGCCAGCACCCCCAGGGGACACUUCUCACUCCCACCCCUGUACUGGCUGCCUUCCUUAGCUUAUGUCCUAUAGUGUUCCCUUGACAGUGACUCUUGGGAUCACCUCCACCCCCACUGCUUACACAUCCAUCCUUGAAUCAGAGUCUACUCCCAGGGAAACUCAAAUCUAUGGCAGGCGAUUUAGAGAGGUGAAGUCACUUGCCCCAAAUUUCGUAGCUAGCAAGUGGCAGAGUCGGGAAUAUGGGUGCAACGUGGAUAGCACCUCCCAAACCCUCUCACCGCACUUAACCCAGGUUUGCUCCCACCUAGGAAAGCAUCCAUAAAGCAAGAGUGCCGGAAAUUCUGUCACUGGGGAUUCUAGCUCUGAGUUCACUGUGUGAAAAGCAAAACCCCCACCUUGGGAAGCAGAUUAACCUGUGAAACUAGUAUCAGCCAUUCCCACAUGGUACGAGCUUAUUUUUCACAUUCUUCUCUUCCCCAAGGCCCCUGAACAGAGCAGGAACUGUAAGAGGGAGGCAGCAGAGAGAGCAAAAACAAUCUGCAGGUCCUGCCUCUCCAUCCAGCUGCGAGCUGCUCCUAGCCUUCUGCAUGACGUCUUCAGCAGGAAGGGUGUGCAGGGAUUUCUGAACAUCCCGAGUUGCAUAACUGAUCCUAGAAGUAGAAGAGAAAUGAGAGCACAGCCUAAGACAAACCAUAAAAAACGCACAUGACAGCAUGACCUGUAAUGAAACCACUAUCUAAUCGUUGUCUCCAGCCAGAUUUGCAGGUCAACCUCCCUAAACCAGUGGCCAGAAAAAGGACCGCACCUCCCUCUACCUUCCCUUCUGCCACAGGGUGGAGAUGCUGGCCUUGUCCCUUUCAUCAAAUGCCUGCCAGCCUGGGGCAGCCACCAGCGAGCGCCUGCUUGGGGACAGCUCUGCGGUCCGCAAUGUUUCUGCAGAGGGCACUUCCGGCUCUCCCCAGGAGGUCAGCCCAGCCUGCCCCAGCUGCUGCUGCUUAGCCUCAAGCACGGACUGGAAAUAAACAGCUCCCAGGCAAUCUGCAGCUGGGGCAGAGGCUGAGGGUGGUGUUGCAGGGAGGUAUGGGGAAUGGGAAUGUUUUAGUUGAUGUUUGGAUAAGGUGCUUCUGUGACCAUUUUUUUCUCUGCUGAGUGUUAGUGAGAAAAAGAUGGGCACAAGUGUUGGACCUGAGGUUUCCUGAGAACUUCCGCCUAGGGAGACCAAAACUCAGGCACGAUGAGCAGGAUAAUUGCAAGAGACACAGAGAUAACUUGGUCCUUGGUCGUUGUGAAUGGCUGAGGUGCCUGAGGUUGCUCAUGAGGCUGUAGGUAGGAAGUAGAGUGGUUUAAAGUGGGCAUUGGGGUUCUGGCUUAGAACCCCAGCCUCACCCCUCCCCAGCUGGAUGAUUUGCUAUUUAUAAUCAUUUCACCACCACCUAUAAAAUGAAAACAAAACAGCAGGCCCUUAUGGAACACUGUCAGUCUAAGCCAGUGCCAAACACAGUACUAACUAAGGUCUUAGCAUAUGUUAGAACAGUCACUGAGUUGUUGAAGAAAUUGGUGCUAUUAUUAUUGCCAUUUUACAGACAAAACUGAGGCACAUAAGAGAGCAUUGCUGCUGGAGGACUCACUGCUGGUACAUGGUGGGGCCUGGGAUGACCUCAGGCAGUCUGCCCGUAGUGCCCUUGACCACCCUGUCCCUGCGGUUGCUGUGAACAACAGAUGAAAUGCAGCUUAUAAAGGACUUGGCGCCGUGCCUGCCCCAUGGCCAGCUCUCAAUAAAUGUUAGCUUUUAUUAUUAAGAACACACGAAGCAGCACAAAACAGACCAGGCAAGCUACUCACAUAGUUUGAGAUCCUUAACAAUGCCUGGUGUUUGUUUGGCUCUGUGUAGAAUUCAAAGCGCUCUACCAGUGAGGCCUCCUAUAACCUCGCUGCUGCCCCUGAGGGCAGAGGGGCAGUGUGGAAUGCACACAAGAAGGGCAGUUUCUGCAUAAGGUCCUACGCUGGCUCUCUGGUCAUCUAUUCCCAGGGAGUGUGCAGGGACACCUGGGAGCCUGAAUGGCAUGGUGUGUGAGCUGAGAAGAUGCUGAAGAGCCACCAGUAUAUGACCUUUUACCAUGUUAACUCAGAUUCUAUUUACAUAAACAUUUUAUACUCGUCUCUAUAAACUGUGAUACAACAGUUUCUUGAUUCUUUAUUCUUUUUACCUUUUUGUAAUGGAAGUCUAAAGGGAUUACAACAAACGCAGAUUACAAACUCAUAAAAUCACCUUAAAAAGUAAAAAUAGUGGACCAAGUGUUAAAUAAUAGAACCUACUGUUUGAACAGCAGUUUCCAGUUUAUGAAUAAGUAUGAUCUCAUUUCAACCUCAUGACAAUUCAUUACUGGACAUAACUGUGCCGUAAAACUCGAGUUUAGGGGAGCUACUCUAAUAGGGAAUAGUAUGGCUACAACCCAGUCUGCCCUUAAUGAAUUUUGCCUGAGUUUUCUUUUUGGCUACCAAAAGAGUUUGUGUUAGUGUCUCCUAUUGUGACUCAGUAAAAGACUGAAUAUAGAAUGAGUGGUUUCGCUCUUUCUUUUUUCUAUUUCUCUCCUUCCCUCCCCUUCCUUCUCCUUCCCUUCUCCUUCCCUUCCCCAUAUUUGGACUUUUCUGGACUCUGUCCUAUACACCUGUGAUGGUUAAUUUUAGGUGUCAGCUUGUCUGAAGAAAGGGACACCCAGACAGUUCGUAAAGUUUUAUUUCUGGGAGGAAUGGUUGGUUUCAAAUUUCAAGUCUCAUACUUAACAUUUCUGUGACUUUGGCCAAGUUACUGACACCUUGGUGUUUCAGAAUUCUCACCUACCAAGAGAGUAGCUACCUCUUGCGAGUAUUGGGAAGGGUAAAUGAGCAAACACACAUAAAGUGUUCGGAAAGGUACUGGGCACACACUAACUCAGUGCUGUUUGCUUAUAUGAAAUAAAAACAGAAAUUAUCUUCCACAAAGAUUGUAGAAUUAUAGCUGUGCUUAUAGUUCUGUGUAUUUUUGCUUUGUAGAUUUUUGAGGCUAAAUUGUUAGGGGCAUACAAGUUUAGGAUCCACAUACCUUCUUAGUGUCUUGAAUCUUUUAUUUACUUCUUUAGCAAUGCCUUUUGCCUUAAAAUCUACAUUGUGUGAUAUUAACACAGUUUCACUGAUUUGGUUAGUGUUUUUUUUUUGUUUUUUUUUUUUCCAGUAUUGUGGAUCAAACUUAGGACCUUUUGCUUGCCAGGCAGGCUCU
This is a non-coding RNA of Heterocephalus glaber (naked mole-rat), 6846 nucleotides long. The record is from RefSeq and is a predicted model, not a curated record. NCBI's taxonomy places the organism in Eukaryota, Metazoa, Chordata, Mammalia, Rodentia, Bathyergidae.